CCGUGGUCUGGAUUGGUGGAGGAGGAAUUGUCGUGUAGCGUAUCUGGGGUGGCGCGAUGGUGGAGAUGCGGCAGAAAAGACAGGAGGCGUCGGGCUCUGCAGCCGGGGUUCGGCGAGGUGAUGAUGGGCGCAAGCCGCGAGGUACUGCAGAAAGGGUAGCAGAGGAGCUUCCAUUGCGAUUGGGGAAAGGGGCGCGAGAAUCCAUCCGGUCGUGGCCGGCGACAAGGCGGAGCGGCGGGCGUUAGAGAAGUUGAGCCACGCGGCGGAGAAGCUCUGAGGCGGGCAUGCUACUCGAGUGCGUCUGUCGCGGGAGAUCUAGGAGAAAGAUUUUGUGGGUCCACCGGUCAGUCUCAGUUGGUCCACUGCUCAGAUUGAAAGAGAUACUUGUGGGAAGACUUAAAAAGGAUCCGGCGGUAUGGGUUUUGGGGUCGGCAGGGUCGGAACGGGGAACCAACGGAGAGGGGUCGGAUCUCAGGGGUCGGAACUAAGGGUGAGCACUCAACUCGGGAAAACUAAGAGGGGGAAAUAGAGACUCGGAGUUGAUUAACUCGAAAGAUUUGGGGUCGGUCGUGACACAAAAGCCUCGAUCUCCCUCCUCGGCAACGGAUGCUCAACCACUGAACUAGUCUUCACGCCGGGCACCAAGCCUAGUUCCCGACUAAACAACGGCCCCACCUCCAAAGACGUCCC
RNAcentral lists this long non-coding RNA (690 nucleotides) under Setaria viridis. RNAcentral's name for it is "long non-coding RNA (SVIR_LNC006772)". The record is from RNAcentral. Lineage: Eukaryota; Viridiplantae; Streptophyta; Magnoliopsida; Poales; Poaceae.